RNAcentral lists this ribosomal RNA (482 nucleotides) under uncultured bacterium. RNAcentral describes it as "partial 16S ribosomal RNA". It matches the Rfam family "Bacterial small subunit ribosomal RNA", at positions 30 to 507 of the family's 1533-position model. The record is from RNAcentral.
AUUGAACGCUGGCGGCAUGCUUUACACAUGCAAGUCGAACGGUAACAGGCCGCAAGGUGCUGACGAGUGGCGCACGGGUGAGUAAUGCAUCGGAACGUGCCCAGUCGUGGGGGGUAACUACUCGAAAGAGUAGCUAAUACCGCAUACGAUCUAUGGAUGAAAGCGGGGGACCGUAAGGCCUCGCGCGAUUGGAGCGGCCGAUGUCAGAUUAGGUAGUUGGUGGGGUAAAGGCUCACCAAGCCAACGAUCUGUAGCUGGUCUGAGAGGACAACCAGCCACACUGGGACUGAGACACGGCCCAGACUCCUACGGGAGGCAGCAGUGGGGAAUUUUGGACAAUGGGCGCAAGCCUGAUCCAGCAAUGCCGCGUGCAGGAAGAAGGCCUUCGGGUUGUAAACUGCUUUUGUACGGAACGAAACGGCUCUGGUUAAUACCCGGGGCUAAUGACGGUACCGUAAGGAUAAGCACCGGCUAACUACGUG